GUCAGGUUGGCCGAGUGGUGUAAGGCGCCAGACUUAAAUUCUGGUUCUCGAAAGAGAGCGUGGGUUCGAACCCACAUCUGACA
This 83-nucleotide transfer RNA is filed under the name Blattella germanica (German cockroach). RNAcentral's name for it is "tRNA-Leu (TAA) (tRNA-Leu-TAA-27-1)". It matches the Rfam family "tRNA". Rfam says of the family: Transfer RNA (tRNA) molecules are approximately 80 nucleotides in length. Their secondary structure includes four short double-helical elements and three loops (D, anti-codon, and T loops). Further hydrogen bonds mediate the characteristic L-shaped molecular structure. tRNAs have two regions of fundamental functional importance: the anti-codon, which is responsible for specific mRNA codon recognition, and the 3' end, to which the tRNAs corresponding amino acid is attached (by aminoacyl-tRNA synthetases). tRNAs cope with the degeneracy of the genetic code in two manners: having more than one tRNA (with a specific anti-codon) for a particular amino acid; and 'wobble' base-pairing, i.e. permitting non-standard base-pairing at the 3rd anti-codon position. The record is from RNAcentral. Lineage: Eukaryota; Metazoa; Arthropoda; Insecta; Blattodea; Blattellidae.